This 407-nucleotide ribosomal RNA is filed under the name Verrucomicrobiota bacterium. RNAcentral's name for it is "Verrucomicrobia bacterium partial 16S ribosomal RNA". It matches the Rfam family "Bacterial small subunit ribosomal RNA", at positions 355 to 776 of the family's 1533-position model. The record is from RNAcentral. Lineage: Bacteria; Pseudomonadati; Verrucomicrobiota.
UGGGGAAUAUUGGACAAUGGAGGGAACUCUGAUCCAGCAAUUCUGUGUGUGUGAAGAAGGUUUUAGGACUGUAAAACACUUUUAGUAGGGAAGAAAAAAAUGACGGUACCUACAGAAGAAGCAACGGCUAAAUACGUGCCAGCAGCCGCGGUAAUACGUAUGUUGCGAGCGUUAUCCGGAAUUAUUGGGCUUAAAGGGCAUCUAGGCGGUAAGACAAGUUGAAGGUGAAAACCUGUGGCUCAACCAUAGGCUUCCCUACAAAACUGUUGAACUAGAGUACUGGAAAGGUGGGUGGAACUACACGAGUAGAGGUGAAAUUCGUAGAUAUGUGUAGGAAUGCCGAUGAUGAAGAUAACUCACUGGACAGAAACUGACGCUGAAGUGCGAAAGCUAGGGGAGCAAACAGG